Molecule: ribosomal RNA, 393 nt
Filed under: uncultured bacterium
Lineage: Bacteria
Description: partial 16S ribosomal RNA
Rfam family: Bacterial small subunit ribosomal RNA
Source: RNAcentral
AUACGGAGGAUGCGAGCGUUAUCCGGAUUUAUUGGGUUUAAAGGGAGCGUAGGUGGGAUAUUAAGUCAGCUGUGAAAGUUUGGGGCUCAACCUUAAAAUUGCAGUUGAUACUGGUUUCCUUGAGUACGGUACAGGUGGGCGGAAUUCGUGGUGUAGCGGUGAAAUGCUUAGAUAUCACGAAGAACUCCGAUCGCGAAGGCAGCUCGCCGGGCCGGAACUGACACUGAUGCUCGAAAGUGCGGGUAUCAAACAGGAUUAGAUUCCCUGGUAGUCCGCACAGUAAACGAUGAAUACUCGCUGUUUGCGAUACACGGUAAGCGGCCAAGCGAAAGCGUUAAGUAUUCCACCUGGGGAGUACGCCGGCAACGGUGAAACUCAAAUGAAUUGACGGGG